UUGAACGCUGGCGGCAGGCCUAACACAUGCCAGUCGAGCGGAUGAAGGGAGCUUGCUCCUGGAUUCAGCGGCGGACGGGUGAGUAAUGCCUAGGAAUCUGCCUGGUAGUGGGGGAUAACGUCCGGAAACGGGCGCUAAUACCGCAUACGUCCUGAGGGAGAAAGUGGGGGAUCUUCGGACCUCACGCUAUCAGAUGAGCCUAGGUCGGAUUAGCUAGUUGGUGGGGUAAAGGCCUACCAAGGCGACGAUCCGUAACUGGUCUGAGAGGAUGAUCAGUCACACUGGAACUGAGACACGGUCCAGACUCCUACGGGAGGCAGCAGUGGGGAAUAUUGGACAAUGGGCGAAAGCCUGAUCCAGCCAUGCCGCGUGUGUGAAGAAGGUCUUCGGAUUGUAAAGCACUUUAAGUUGGGAGGAAGGGCAGUAAGUUAAUACCUUGCUGUUUUGACGUUACCAACAGAAUAAGCACCGGCUAACUUCGUG
RNAcentral lists this ribosomal RNA (483 nucleotides) under uncultured bacterium. Its description in RNAcentral is "partial 16S ribosomal RNA". It matches the Rfam family "Bacterial small subunit ribosomal RNA", at positions 30 to 507 of the family's 1533-position model. The record is from RNAcentral.